ACUACGGGUGGCAGCAGUGGGGGAUAUUGCACAAUGGGGGGAACCCUGAUGCAGCGACGCCGCGUGGGUGAAGAAGCGCCUCGGCGCGUAAAGCCCUGUCAGCAGGGAAGAAAAUGACGGUACCUGAAGAAGACGCCCCGGCUAACUACGUGCCAGCCGCCGCGGUAAUACGUAGGGGGCAAGCGUUAUCCGGAUUUACUGGGUGUCAAGGGGGCGCAGACGGCGAUGCAAGCCGGUAGUGAAAGCCCGGGGCCCAACCCCGGGACUGCUCGUGGAACUGGGUGGCUGGAGUGCAGGAGGGGCAGGCGGAAUUCCUGGUGGAGAGGUGAAAUGCGUAGAUAUCAGGAGGAA
RNAcentral lists this ribosomal RNA (351 nucleotides) under uncultured bacterium. Its description in RNAcentral is "partial 16S ribosomal RNA". It matches the Rfam family "Bacterial small subunit ribosomal RNA", at positions 338 to 706 of the family's 1533-position model. The record is from RNAcentral.